GUGAGGGAACGUUUCUGACGCUAGGUCAAGGGCGGUGUUCCUGUGUUCUUAGGGCCCCAGGAGGCGAGUCUGAGUGGAACCUGGCUGGGGUAGGCUGAAAGGUGACUUCGACGCUCUUCUGAGGCCUCAGACGUGUGUGAUGACUGCCCUGUAGAAUCAGUGCUGUGACCCCGAGUAACAACGCGCGCUUGAGUUGGUAUAAACUCCUGAAGAGUGUAGUCCUGCAAUUUACAAGAAAAAGUUAAGUGUAAAAUAGCCUCAGGCAUGUCCUUCAGGAGGGAUUCCAGAGGCAUUGUUAUAGACGAUGACAGCUCUGUGUGUGUUAUUGCCACUGAAGACCUUCCAUGGGACGCGAUGUGGAGCUGGAAGUCAGUGAUAUUGAUGAUCCUGACACAGUCCUAGGAUAAGGAUCUUUAACUUUAUUAGCAGCUACUGAGCUACAGAAUACAAACCAACUGAAAACAUUAAAGAAAGGCUUCCUGAAACAGGCUUUCCAGCUCACUACCCAAAAGACUUGAGUACUUCUAUUAAGGCAGCUGGAAGCCCACCCUAGACUUCAAUGGCAAUUUGUCCUUUCUCUGCCAGUAAGGCAAUCCAACACAAUAUGCUACAGGAAAAACAGAAUUUCCAUGGUGCUGCCCUCUGGUACAAGGGAAACAGCACUCAGAGCAAAAGGCCACAGAGGACUCCCUGAGAAUCCAGUACAACUAAGCGAGGCCUUAAACUGUCGAGACAAACUUUGCAACUGGAUCCCGGUGGGACAGUGCCCUGCGGCGAGGAGUAGUGUAUAUGCCAAUGAGAGGGCCCAGCUUCCAGGAACCGUUACAAUGGCGUCCUGAGUCAUUUUCUCUCUCCCACUUGCAUUCGAGUGCGAAAACACACACCGUGGCCUUGAUUCUCACUCACCACAAUCCCCCUGUACAGAGGGGUUUGUUUCUAAGUCUGGAACCUCAACACGAGGCUGGGAUGCUUCACGACGUGCUCUCUCCCACUGUCCAGCCAUCUUUGGUGGUCUCCCCAUAGUGCUUUCCCAUCCUCUUAUGCUCCUGUGGAGGGACCAUGGGACGGGCCAGGAGGAAACCUGGGAUCACUCUGACAGAAAAGGGACAAGCACAGCUGCCAGGAGCCAGUUGCUCCAGCCUCAGUCUCCGGUUGUUAGUCUCAGGAUCAACAGAGAACUGGAAAGCAGCAGAAUCUGGAGGAGCAGGCAGAGAGCCCAGAGGAGGAGUGUUGUGCUCAGUGACGGUUAACAGAUGAAAAGGAAUUUCAUGGAGAUUCUUUGUUACAAGGAGAAAUUGCUCAGUCUCAACUCCCAGAAUAUGAAAGUUGCCUGGUUUAAGAGACCUAUAUUUUCUUUUUCAGCUCUUCAAACCUCUGGGAAAGAUCAUCAAAGUCAAUGUCUUCAGAUGCUGAGGUGCUGGCACCAGCAAAUGCAGUUGGUAGUGUGUCUGGCACAGAUGGCAACUCUGGUAGGACAAAGUUGUCAUAGUUAUCCGCAGGUCAGGAAGGAAGCUUUGCAGAGGCUUCUGGCUUGGGUCCAGGACCAACAAUCUGUGCAGAAGAGAUAUUCUUAUCAGCAUUAAUGUCAUCUACAGAUUCAUAUGAUGGGGGAGUUGCUGGUAUCUGAGAUGGAUAAAUAUUGGGAAAGGCCUGGUAAGUCCCCAUUGGCAGUCCAUUGAAAUCUGAUGGUCCCUUUGGCAGUGGAUAUGAGAAAGGAGUAUUUGCAGAUAGCAUGGGCAUAGGCAUGGGCAUUGGCACCAUUCCAUCAGGUCCACCAACUGGUGCUGUGAACCCACCACCCCCUCCUCUUCCAGGGCCUCCUUUCUUCACAUCAUCUGUGAAUCCAACAUCAAUAAGAUCUGUCUCUACCCCAGAAGGAGCUUCUGCCAUGACCACAGAGUCAGGUUCAUAGGGUACAUUGUAAUUCUUCGCAAUUUCAAUCAGGUAUCUCUCCACCAGGAUUUUGGAUGGGGCUUCCACACUCAGAUUGUGCAUUAGCCUGUCAUUCACAGUUCCAAUCUGGUUGGUCCUACAUAGCUUGCCAUAUUACUUGCUAUACUUGGCACAGAGCUGAUCAGCAACUAUUUUCAACUCAGCCACUUCUGACUGGAGUCGAGGAGCAGCCCAGAUCAAUGUAGACACAGAUUCAGCCAGACCAGAAUCUAGUUCCUUCAUAGACUGGAUAAGGCCAAACCGAGCCAGCAGCAGAUCACAGUACAGCUCCAGGAUCUCCAUGGCCUCCACGAAGUAGUCUUCCCGGAUAAUGUGCUCCACACGGAUCCGAGCUCGUUCAUCUUUCCCAGCAGCCAGAUAGUCAGCAAUCUCCUUCCUUGCUUUCUGGGCCAGUUCUGUUUUUUUUUUUUUUCCUCCAAUAGUUCAAGGCGAUUUAUGACUAAUCUCAAAUUCACUCUUAAGUGCUCAGCUUUAAAUCCAGAGCCCAGCAUGCUGUGCUGUUCCUCCUAACCGAAUCCUGCCAUGAACACAGCAGACACCGACUUCAGAAUCAGGGUUCACCAUCCACGUGAUUCUUAAACACGUAAAUGAAACUCCAAGAACCGGGAGAUGGGGGCGGAGUGUACAACCCUUCCAGGAAGGAAUCCUACACAAACCCUGCGUGACCAAACUUUACUCAGGCUCUUACACCUUCCCCUGGGCCCAUCUGUACACUUCAUUAUAAAAUCCAACAAUAACAAAGGCCCCUUUUAAGUCAGUUUAGCAAGAACCCUCUGCCCCCCAUCUUCAUCCUCCACUAUCCCCCAGGCGAUGAUGUCUUAUCAUCCAGGUCUCUCUCUUCAGAAAGAAUCCCAACAGGUGCGUUUAGCCAGAAUCCUACUUAUCCCAGACAUUUCCUCUUAGUAUUUUGUCAUCCAGUGAUCCCUAACCUGCUCCUUGACUAUAAAUUCCUACUCGUUCAUGCUGAAUUUGGAGUUGAACCCAAUCUCUUGUACCCAUUGCAAAAUCUCACUGCUGUGCUUCCAAUACCUAUCACGAUGAUCCUGAAUAAAGUCUUCCUUUGCAUGCUUUAA
Long non-coding RNA from Homo sapiens (human), 3026 nucleotides. RefSeq lists it as uncharacterized. Lineage: Eukaryota; Metazoa; Chordata; Mammalia; Primates; Hominidae. The transcript has 4 exons. The record is from RefSeq and is marked validated.